RNAcentral lists this long non-coding RNA (2233 nucleotides) under Gallus gallus (chicken). RNAcentral describes it as "lncRNA (ENSGALG00010017073.1)". Lineage: Eukaryota; Metazoa; Chordata; Aves; Galliformes; Phasianidae. The record is from RNAcentral.
UGUCAAUCAGGUGGCGAUCCAAAUGUUCGCCCACUUCUCCACCGUUUUCUUUCUCUCUGACUCCAUCAGAAGCACAUGACACAUCCGUGGAUCAUGGGAGAGAGAAGCAGGUUUGCUCUCCUUUAUCUCUCUGCUGGGGGAAAGAAAAAGACUCUCAGCUGUAUAAUCAUCUUCCUAUAAAAUAAAUUACUUUAUCUGUCUUAAUACUGUCACUCUUCAGUCCUCCAGUGAUCUACUUCUUCCAUCUGUGUGCAUAACUGAAAUCUUCUCUCCACCUACUCUAUGUACUUCCAAGUGUCAAAAUCCAGCCUCAAUCAUUGCUGUCAUCAGUCUCUCGUUCUUGAUGGGAUAGUGGAUGAAACAUCACUGUUCCUCAGACCUCUAUGGGUAAUUUCUGUGCUUGCUUUGCAGAGCUGAGGUAAGCUAUCAGAAAUGUGACCUAAAAGAGUUUUGUUUGGUUUGGUUUUUUGUCAGCUGAAGUUUUCCACUUUCUGCUCCUGAAGCAAGUGGGUAUUUUUGUUGCUUCCUGGGUCUUGUUUCCAUCAUGACUCUUGCUGCAUAAUUUAAGGAGAUAACCACAUUACCCAAAUCCUAUGAAAGUUGACAUACUGCUUCGUAUUGAGUAAUUCUGCAUGACUCACACUUUGUUCUCUGAUAUAAUUCUUACGCUCGUUUGCAGAAUAUUGUUGAGACAAUUGAGCUUGCUUACUGAAAUCACCAUCUUUUGUAGCGAGACAGUACAACCGCUUUCCUCUUUCACAAAGCCAUUCCAAGAACAAUGGGCCGACCCAGAAAUAACAACCAUUUGUUUUGCUUAGAAUAUGGAUUCUGCUUUGCUAAAUGAAAUAACGGCAGGGAAAAGAAAGAAACCUUCUUAGAAGCCGUGCAUCUUCCCAGAUAAAUGUGGCAACGCGCCCCUCCUGCUGAGCCGUGACCUACUUUGCUCACAAAAUGCUCUCACUACCUUCCCCCAAACGCGAGGCUGUUGAAGCCCCAGGAAUUCUUCACCUUGGGUGCGAAACCGUGAAGCGUCAGUCACCACCGAAGGAUCCUCAACGGUUUCCCUGUCUGGCGGCACUGCGCUGCUUAUCGCAUCCUCUGCGAAUGCCUCCCUUCUCAUCGCGUUGCUGUUGGGAUAAGUUUUUAUCUCUGCUCCAGUGUACACCGCGCGAGUUCAGAGCUGGGUGGAUUUUGCCAUCUUGUGAGAGGUUUUGGUACUUUUUUCUGGACUGGGUUUAUUUUUGGGUUAGCUUUAGAUAAAAAAAAUAUAUAUAUUUUAAUUCCUUCAUAUUUUUUAUGACUGAAAAGGAAUCCUUUUCCUCUAGCUAAUAUAUUAUGUGCAUCAGAACUUGGUAGUGUGCCUGUUCACAGAGAAACAGGAGUUGAGAUCGAGCAUCAACAGCUGUGGGAAUGACCUACACCAUAUGGGACAUAUGACAAUUACCCAGUCUGUGUUACAUAAGGAAUAAAAUCAAGUUGCUUUGCUAAAGCAUGGAAGGAGAGAGAACUAGAACAUGAUGACAAAUGACUGCUCCUGAUGAUAAAGCUACAACUGGGUACCUUUCAGGAUGACACACCUGCAUCAAACAACUCUUAAUGUCAUGCAAAAGGCUGGAUGUGAUCACCUGUGAUACUCAGGAGGCUGGAUCACAGCUCCUUCCCUCUGCCAGGGGAAGUCUUUGAACCAUCUCAUCUCAUCUUAUGUCUGGCAUUUGCUGAUAUUGUGUAAUGGGGAGCUUUAGUGCCUUCCAUGACAGCAGGGCCAGGAGGUGAUUCCUUGUGCUGCUCUGGGGCCCACAGGGCUCAGCAAGGAUCCUGGCACUGGGCUGCAGCACCGACCCCAGAACUGCCACUGGAGUUCCCCAGCCACUACUGAGUGACAAUGGAGUCAUUGGUUUCACAGAGGCUGCUGUAAGUACAGGGAAGCGAAUGAAACCCUCAUUUCUAUAAUGUGUUUCAGACCUCCUUGUCUCUCCCCUAAAUUCUGAUGCCAUCUAGUCCGAGUGAAAUGAAUGGUGUCACAAAGCUUGGGCUUAGCUGAAAGAUGGAAAUAAUGCGUGUGCAUGCGUGUGUCUGAAAUGCCUCUCAAAACGCCACACGGCCACUUUUCUGCUGUGCAAUUUUCAUUCUAUUGAUAUAUAUAUAUUUUUUACAUACAGUCACGUAAUUGCAAACUGUACCCAUUUACACCUUCCAGAAGGCAGUAACUUCAGGAGUGAGCGCGGGGUUAUUU